This 485-nucleotide ribosomal RNA is filed under the name uncultured bacterium. RNAcentral's name for it is "partial 16S ribosomal RNA". It matches the Rfam family "Bacterial small subunit ribosomal RNA", at positions 28 to 523 of the family's 1533-position model. The record is from RNAcentral.
GAUGAACGCUGGCGGCGUGGAUAAGGCAUGCAAGUCGAGCGAUACAAUUGCGAUUACAUCAAGGUUGUAUAGCGGCGAACGAGUUAGUAACACGUGAGUAACCUGCCCUUGACUCUGGGAUAACUGCUAGAAAUGGUAGCUAAUACCGGAUACGACCCUCGGUGGCAUCACCAGGGGGUGGAAAGAAUUUCGGUCAAGGAUGGACUCGCGGCCUAUCAGCUAGUUGGUGAGGUAACGGCUCACCAAGGCGACGACGGGUAGCCGGCCUGAGAGGGUGACCGGCCACACUGGGACUGAGACACGGCCCAGACUCCUACGGGAGGCAGCAGUGGGGAAUAUUGCACAAUGGGCGCAAGCCUGAUGCAGCAACGCCGCGUGAGGGAUGACGGCCUUCGGGUUGUAAACCUCUUUUAGUAGGGAAGAAGCGAAAGUGACGGUACCUGCAGAAAAAGCACCGGCUAACUACGUGCCAGCAGCCGCCGUAA